CAUACACCAGAGUUUUCUCUUGCUCUUUUUUCUGUGUAAGCUAAAACUUCACUUUCUCUUUUCAGGAUUCUCACCAUGGGACCAUUUUGUGUUGUAAUUUGGCAGAGGUUCAUUCUGAGUAGGAGGUUUGGACUUGUUUGCAGGAUAACUGAGUAAAUGACUGAGUCCUAUCAGUGGAAACUUAUUAGACUAUGAAGACUCAUUAGAUAUCGUAUGAUUGUCCCACAAAAUGAAUUUCAUUUUGACAGCUUACAUUGGAAAAGGUCACAGGAAUGGCAAAAAGAAAUGUAAUGAAUGAGAGAAUCUUUCUGGGUGUUUCCCUUUGUGCAAUGGUAACAAAUCCUUAAAAAGACUGAAAAAUCUUCAACAUUAUUUAUCUGGGCAAUGCAAUGAAGAGGGUAUAACAUCAACUCAAGCCUUGGCAGUGGCAGUCUGGAUGAGGUGCUGCUGGUGGCAGUGGAUGCUGGGCAUCCUCAGGUACUCCUCCCUCUCUCAAGUCCAUGCUCUGGAAGAGGAAUGGUUCCUGGCUGGCAGGCACAAGCAAAGAAUGGG
This 552-nucleotide long non-coding RNA is filed under the name Apteryx rowi (Okarito brown kiwi). RNAcentral describes it as "lncRNA (ENSARWG00000016320.1)". Lineage: Eukaryota; Metazoa; Chordata; Aves; Apterygiformes; Apterygidae. The record is from RNAcentral.